UACGUAGGGUGCGAGCGUUAAUCGGAAUUACUGGGCGUAAAGCGUGCGCAGGCGGCUUUGCAAGACAGAUGUGAAAUCCCCGGGCUCAACCUGGGAACUGCAUUUGUGACUGCAAGGCUAGAGUACGGCAGAGGGGGAUGGAAUUCCGCGUGUAGCAGUGAAAUGCGUAGAUAUGCGGAGGAACACCAAUGGCGAAGGCAAUCCCCUGGGCAUGUACUGACGCUCAUGCACGAAAGCGUGGGGAGCAAACAGG
Molecule: ribosomal RNA, 253 nt
Filed under: uncultured bacterium
Lineage: Bacteria
Description: partial 16S ribosomal RNA
Rfam family: Bacterial small subunit ribosomal RNA
Source: RNAcentral